RNAcentral lists this ribosomal RNA (769 nucleotides) under Phrynobatrachus africanus (African swamp frog). RNAcentral describes it as "partial 16S ribosomal RNA". It matches the Rfam family "Bacterial large subunit ribosomal RNA", at positions 1527 to 2537 of the family's 2925-position model. Lineage: Eukaryota; Metazoa; Chordata; Amphibia; Anura; Phrynobatrachidae. The record is from RNAcentral.
CCAUAAACAUUUUCUAACCCUCUCCCCCUACUGAAUGAUUUUAUAAUCAUAUAAAACACCUUCUGUUAGAACUAGUAACAAGAAAUUGACUUUCUCCUAAAUAUAAACUUAAACCAGCUUUGACCACCUACUGGUAUUUAACGCAAAUGAUCGAACUAUAGUAACUUCCUUCGCAAACCCUAUAGCCCCCUGACGUUACCCUAACACCAGAAUAUUAUAGGAAAGAUUAAAAGGGAGGGAAGGAACUCGGCAAAUACUAGCCCCGCCUGUUUACCAAAAACAUCGCCUCCUGCUAACCCAUAGGAGGUCCAGCCUGCCCAGUGACAAAGUUUAACGGCCUCGGUACCCUAACCGCGCGAAGGUAGCAUAAUCACUUGUUCCUUAAAUAGGGACCUGUAUCAACGGCAUCACGAGGGCUAGACUGUCUCCCCUCCCUAAUCAGUGAACCUGACCUCUUCGUGAAAAGGCGGAGAUACUGCUAUAAGACGAGAAGACCCCAUGGAGCUUAAAACUAAGUGACACCCUCUCACACAUAAACCAUAAGAGAUAAAAAGGCUGUCAACUAAUUUUUGGCUGGGGCAUCCAGGGAGUAUAACACAACCUCCUUGACGAAUUUAUCUUAGAAUUACUAUUCCAAGAAGCAGUAAACUGAAGUAACCUGACCCGAUACCUAAUAAUCGAUCAACGAACCAAGUUACCCUGGGGAUAACAGCGCAAUCCAUUUCAAGAGCCCCUAUCGACAAAUGGGUUUACGACCUCGAUGUUGGAU